GCCAGCGUAGCAUAGUGGUUUGAUUGCUGGCCUACAACUCUGGAGACCGGGGUUUGAUUCCCAGCUUGGCC
Molecule: non-coding RNA, 71 nt
Organism: Phrynosoma platyrhinos (Desert horned lizard)
Lineage: Eukaryota; Metazoa; Chordata; Lepidosauria; Squamata; Phrynosomatidae
Source: the annotation of a GenBank genome assembly